AAAAGCAACAAAGAAAAA
RNAcentral lists this small RNA (18 nucleotides) under Arabidopsis thaliana (thale cress). RNAcentral's name for it is "ATSL064270". The record is from RNAcentral. Lineage: Eukaryota; Viridiplantae; Streptophyta; Magnoliopsida; Brassicales; Brassicaceae.